Molecule: ribosomal RNA, 253 nt
Filed under: uncultured bacterium
Lineage: Bacteria
Description: partial 16S ribosomal RNA
Rfam family: Bacterial small subunit ribosomal RNA
Source: RNAcentral
UACGUAGGUGGCAAGCGUUGUCCGGAUUUAUUGGGUUUAAAGGGUGCGUAGGCGGUUGAUUAAGUCAGUUGUGAAAUACGGCAGCUUAACUGUCGAGGUGCAAUUGAUACUGGUUGACUUGAGUACAGACGAGGUAGGCGGAAUUGACGGUGUAGCGGUGAAAUGCAUAGAUAUCGUCAAGAACACCGAUAGCGAAGGCAGCUUACUAGACUGCAACUGACGCUGAGGCGCGAAAGCUAGGGGAGCAAACAGG